ACGCUGGCGGCAGGCCUAACACAUGCAAGUCGAGCGGUAGCACAGGAGAGCUUGCUCUCUGGGUGACGAGCGGCGGACGGGUGAGUAAUGUCUGGGAAACUGCCUGAUGGAGGGGGAUAACUACUGGAAACGGUAGCUAAUACCGCAUGACCUCGCAAGAGCAAAGUGGGGGACCUUCGGGCCUCACGCCAUCGGAUGUGCCCAGAUGGGAUUAGCUAGUAGGUGGGGUAAUGGCUCACCUAGGCGACGAUCCCUAGCUGGUCUGAGAGGAUGACCAGCCACACUGGAACUGAGACACGGUCCAGACUCCUACGGGAGGCAGCAGUGGGGAAUAUUGCACAAUGGGCGCAAGCCUGAUGCAGCCAUGCCGCGUGUGUGAAGAAGGCCUUAGGGUUGUAAAGCACUUUCAGCGAGGAGGAAGGGUUCAGUGUUAAUAGCACUGUACAUUGACGUUACUCGCAGAAGAAGCACCGGCUAACUCCGUGCCAGCAGCCGCGGUAAUACGGAGGGUGCAAGCGUUAAUCGGAAUUACUGGGCGUAAAGCGCACGCAGGCGGUUUGUUAAGUCAGAUGUGAAAUCCCCGAGCUUAACUUGGGAACUGCAUUUGAAACUGGCAAGCUAGAGUCUUGUAGAGGGGGGUAGAAUUCCAGGUGUAGCGGUGAAAUGCGUAGAGAUCUGGAGGAAUACCGGUGGCGAAGGCGGCCCCCUGGACAAAGACUGACGCUCAGGUGCGAAAGCGUGGGGAGCAAAC
Molecule: ribosomal RNA, 751 nt
Filed under: uncultured bacterium
Lineage: Bacteria
Description: bacterial SSU rRNA
Rfam family: Bacterial small subunit ribosomal RNA
Source: RNAcentral